UACAGAGGUCCCAAGCGUUGUUCGGAUUCAUUGGGCGUAAAGGGUGCGUAGGCGGCGCGGUAAGUCGGGUGUGAAAUCUCGGAGCUUAACUCCGAAACUGCAUUCGAUACUGCCGUGCUUGAGGACUGGAGAGGAGACUGGAAUUUACGGUGUAGCGGUGAAAUGCGUAGAUAUCGUAAGGAAGACCAGUGGCGAAGGCGGGUCUCUGGACAGCUCCUGACGCUGAGGCACGAAGGCCAGGGGAGCAAACGGG
This 253-nucleotide ribosomal RNA is filed under the name uncultured bacterium. Its description in RNAcentral is "partial 16S ribosomal RNA". It matches the Rfam family "Bacterial small subunit ribosomal RNA", at positions 524 to 776 of the family's 1533-position model. The record is from RNAcentral.